CCUACGGGAGGCAGCAGUGGGGAAUAUUGGGCAAUGGGCGCAAGCCUGACCCAGCAACGCCGCGUGAAGGAAGAAGGCUUUCGGGUUGUUAACUUCUUUUUAGGGGGACGAACAAAUGACGGUACCUCUUGAAUAAGCCACGGCUAACUACGUGCCAGCAGCCGCGGUAAUACGUAGGUGGCAAGCGUUAUCCGGAUUUAUUGGGUGUAAAGGGCGUGUAGGCGGGAGCGCAAGUCAGAUGUGAAAACUCAGGGCUCAACCCUGAGCCUGCAUUUGAAACUGUGUUUCUUGAGUGCUGGGGAGGCAAUCGGAAGUCCGGGUGUAGCGGUGAAAUGCGUAGAUAUACGGAGGAACACCAGUGGCGAAGGCGGAUUGCUGGACAGGAACUGACGCUGAGGCGCGAAAGCGUGGGGAGCAAACAGGAUUAGAUACCCUAGUAGUC
Molecule: ribosomal RNA, 442 nt
Filed under: uncultured bacterium
Lineage: Bacteria
Description: partial 16S ribosomal RNA
Rfam family: Bacterial small subunit ribosomal RNA
Source: RNAcentral